RNAcentral lists this ribosomal RNA (684 nucleotides) under uncultured bacterium. RNAcentral describes it as "bacterial SSU rRNA". It matches the Rfam family "Bacterial small subunit ribosomal RNA", at positions 824 to 1500 of the family's 1533-position model. The record is from RNAcentral.
UGGGUGCAACUNGGCACUCAGUGUCGAAGCUAACGCGUUAAGUUCGCCCCCUGGGGAGUACGGUCGCAAGACUGAAACUCAAAGGAAUUGACGGGGGCCCGCACAAGCGGUGGAGUAUGUGGUUUAAUUCGAUGCAACGCGAAGAACCUUACCUGGUCUUGACAUGUCCGGAAUCCUGCCAGAGAUGCGGGAGUGCCUUCGGGAAUCGGAACACAGGUGCUGCAUGGCUGUCGUCAGCUCGUGUCGUGAGAUGUUGGGUUAAGUCCCGCAACGAGCGCAACCCUUGUCCUUAGUUGCCAGCACGUAAUGGUGGGAACUCUAAGGAGACUGCCGGUGACAAACCGGAGGAAGGUGGGGAUGACGUCAAGUCACCAUGGCCCUUACGAACCAGGGCUACACACGUACUACAAUGGGGGGUACAGAGGGUUGCGAAGCCGCCGAGGUGAAGCCAAUCCCAGAAAACCCCUCUCAGUCCGGAUCGUAGUCUGCAACUCGACUACGUGAAGUCGGAAUCGCUAGUAAUCGCGAAUCAGCAUUGUCGCGGUGAAUACGUUCCCGGGCCUUGUACACACCGCCCGUCACANCCAUGGGAGUUGGUUGCUCCAGAAGCAGGUAGUCUAACCGUAAGGGGGACGCUUGCCACGGAGUGGUCAAUGACUGGGGUGAAGUCGUAACCAAGGUACC